AUUGAACGCUGGCGGCAGGCCUAACACAUGCAAGUCGAGCGGAUGAGUGGAGCUUGCUCCAUGAUUCAGCGGCGGACGGGUGAGUAAUGCCUAGGAAUCUGCCUGGUAGUGGGGGACAACGUUUCGAAAGGAACGCUAAUACCGCAUACGUCCUACGGGAGAAAGCAGGGGACCUUCGGGCCUCGCGCUAUCAGAUGAGCCUAGGUCGGAUUAGCUAGUAGGUGAGGUAAUGGCUCACCUAGGCGACGAUCCGUAACUGGUCUGAGUGGAUGAUCAGUCAUACUGGAACUGAGACACGGUCCAGACUCCUACGGGAGGCAGCAGUGGGGAAUAUUGGACAAUGGGCGAAAGCCUGAUCCAGCCAUGCCGCGUGUGUGAAGAAGGUCUUCGGAUUGUAAAGCACUUUAAGUUGGGAGGAAGGGCAGUAAGUUAAUACCUUGCUGUUUUGACGUUACCAACAGAAUAAGCACCGGCUAACUUCGUGCCAGCAGCCGCGGUAA
Molecule: ribosomal RNA, 500 nt
Filed under: uncultured bacterium
Lineage: Bacteria
Description: partial 16S ribosomal RNA
Rfam family: Bacterial small subunit ribosomal RNA
Source: RNAcentral